RNAcentral lists this ribosomal RNA (254 nucleotides) under uncultured bacterium. RNAcentral's name for it is "partial 16S ribosomal RNA". It matches the Rfam family "Bacterial small subunit ribosomal RNA", at positions 524 to 776 of the family's 1533-position model. The record is from RNAcentral.
UACGUAGGGUGCGAGCGUUGCCCGGAUUUAUUGGGCGUAAAGGGCGCGUAGGCGGCUCUGCACGUCCGUUGUGAAAUCGCCCGGCUCAACUGGGCGGGGUCAGCGGAUACGGCGGAGCUCGAGCAAGCUAGGGGGCAAUGGAAUUCCCGGUGUAGUGGUGGAAUGCGUAGAUAUCGGGGAGGAACACCAGUGGCGAAGGCGGCUGCCUGGCCCGAUACUGACGCUGAGGUGCGAAAGCGUGGGGAGCAAACAGG